This 438-nucleotide long non-coding RNA is filed under the name Bos grunniens (domestic yak). RNAcentral's name for it is "lncRNA (ENSBGRG00000019154.1)". Lineage: Eukaryota; Metazoa; Chordata; Mammalia; Artiodactyla; Bovidae. The record is from RNAcentral.
AACCGAUGCUUAGCAUCCGCAGCGGAGGAAAAUAAAACUUCAGCUGUAAAGUAACAAGCAAGCAAGGUAGAGAAGGUGGAGAAAGCUGAGGCUCCUUCAUACACAACUUCUUCUAAUCUACUUCUCAUCUCCCCACCCCCUCCUCAACUUUCCCUUGGCCAAACGGGACACCAAAGGCUGAAGACGGCUGCAGAAUUACAUUUCGAUUUACACUGUCCGGCUACGAAUAUACACAAAAGCUGUAAGAAAGAGGACAUGAUUUUUGAGGCUUACUGUGUGUGAGGCCUCGAUGGACAUAAGUUUGAGCAAGCUCUGGGAGUUGGUGAUGAACAGGGAAGCCUGGCAUGCUGCAGUCCAUGGGGUUGCAAAGAGUUGGACACAACUGAGCGACUGAACUGAAUUGAACUGUGUGUGAGACCUGGAUCAGUCUUCUAAGCA